UAUGAUGUAGUCCUUAUAUAGGUUGAACACCGAUUAUUGGGACGACCAUGGCAAUAUGCCAUGGAUGUUAACCAUGAUGGUGGAAAGAACCAAAACACUUUACAUCUAAAUGGUCUCACCCAUUUUCUUACACCGCUAUCAAGAAGAGAGGUAUACGAAAACCAACUUAAGAUCAAGAAAGCGUAUGAUGAGUUUGUUGGUAG
RNAcentral lists this long non-coding RNA (203 nucleotides) under Carica papaya (papaya). Its description in RNAcentral is "long non-coding RNA (CPAP_LNC010024)". The record is from RNAcentral. Lineage: Eukaryota; Viridiplantae; Streptophyta; Magnoliopsida; Brassicales; Caricaceae.